AAAGCUUGGUGUGAUUGGAAACUUCUAGGCUACAUGGGAGAUCAGUCAAAGAGUGUUAGGGAUGCUUUUGUUGAGCAUGGCACAUUCAGAGGCCGUACGGAAGGGAAAAUAUCCAGCUACUUAAUUUGGAGCACGCGCGAUCGGCCUAAAGGAAUGCUGUUACUUCCCUCUCCUUCUCCUAAGCAUGAAUAUGUAAAUGCCCGAGCACUAGUUACUAGCAUUGAGAUCGAGGAAGUAGCAGUUUGAUUCAGAGAUGAGGGUG
Molecule: long non-coding RNA, 262 nt
Organism: Solanum dulcamara
Lineage: Eukaryota; Viridiplantae; Streptophyta; Magnoliopsida; Solanales; Solanaceae
Exons: 3
Source: RefSeq, a predicted model, not a curated record